GACGAACGCUGGCGGCGUGCUUAACACAUGCCAGUCGAACGGUGAAGCGCCUUCCUUUUUGGUGUGUGUGGAUGAGUUGCGAACGGGUGAGUAACACGUGAGUAAUCUGCUCUUUUCUUCUGGAUAACCUCAUGAAAGUUUGGCUAAUACGGGAUAUUCUGUGUCUGUCGCAUCAUGGGUCUGUGAAAGCUAUUGUUUCGGUGUGGGAUGGGCUCGCGGACUAUCAUCUUGUUGGUGGGGUGAUGGCCUACCAAGGCGGUGUCGGGUAGCUGGGCUGGGAGGGUCGACGGCCACAGUGGGAAGGAAAGGUGGAGAAGACUACGGGGGGAGGCAGUAGGGAAGAAUAGAGAACGGGGGGAGGAAGGAUGAUGCAACGACGCGGGGUGAGAGAUGGAGGCCUGGGGGUUGUGAACCUCUGUCGCGAGAGAAGAGCGGCAGCUUCGUGUGUGGGUGGGUUGACGGUAGCUGGAGAAGAAGCGCCGGCUAACUACGUG
Molecule: ribosomal RNA, 494 nt
Filed under: uncultured bacterium
Lineage: Bacteria
Description: partial 16S ribosomal RNA
Rfam family: Bacterial small subunit ribosomal RNA
Source: RNAcentral